Molecule: ribosomal RNA, 426 nt
Filed under: uncultured bacterium
Lineage: Bacteria
Description: bacterial SSU rRNA
Rfam family: Bacterial small subunit ribosomal RNA
Source: RNAcentral
UGGGGAAUAUUGGACAAUGGGCGCAAGCCUGAUCCAGCAAUGCCGCGUGUGUGAAGAAGGCCUUCGGGUUGUAAAGCACUUUUAUCAGGAACAAAAUACCACGGGUUAAUACCCUAUGGGGCUGACGGUACCUGAGGAAUAAGCACCGGCUAACUUCGUGCCCGCAGCCGCGGUAAUACGAAGGGUGCAAGCGUUAAUCGGAAUUACUGGGCGUAAAGGGUGCGUAGGCGGUUCGUUAAGUCUGUCGUGAAAUCCCCGGGCUCAACCUGGGAAUGGCGAUGGAUACUGGCGAGCUAGAGUGUGUCAGAGGAUGGUGGAAUUCCCGGUGUAGCGGUGAAAUGCGUAGAGAUCGGGAGGAACAUCUGUGGCGAAAGCGGCGCACUGGACCAUAACUGACGCUGAGGCGCGAAAGCUAGGGGAGCAAAC